Molecule: ribosomal RNA, 459 nt
Filed under: uncultured bacterium
Lineage: Bacteria
Description: partial 16S ribosomal RNA
Rfam family: Bacterial small subunit ribosomal RNA
Source: RNAcentral
CCUACGGGAGGCAGCAGUGAGGAAUAUUGGUCAAUGGGCGAGAGCCUGAACCAGCCAAGUCGCGUGAGGGAAGACGGACCUAUGGAUUGUAAACCUCUUUUGCCGGGGAGCAAAAAGCGGUACGCGUACCGCAUCGAGCGUACCCGGAGAAAAAGCAUCGGCUAACACCGUGCCAGCAGCCGCGGUAAUACGGAGGAUGCGAGCGUUAUCCGGAGUUAUUGGGUUAAAGGGGUGCGCGGGCGGCAAGUAAAGUCAGCGGUAAAAUUUUGGGGCCCAACCCCGAACAGCCGUUGACACUGGGUUGCUAGAGUGGGCGAGAAGUAUGCGGAAUUCGUGGUGUAGCGGUGAAAUGCAUAGAUAUCACGCAGAACUCCGAUUGCGAAGGCAGCAUACCGGCGCCCAACUGACGUUCAGGCACGAAAGCGUGGGUAUCGAACAGGAUUAGAUACCCUAGUAGUC